CCUCUCUCUGUCUCCCUCCCCUGUCUCUCUCUGUCUCAGUCCCCCUCCGUCUACCUGUUACUCGCUCUCUCUCUCUCACAAACACACACACACACACACACACACACACACACACACACACACACACACACACGUGUCCAGUGACCUCCUCAGUGCUGGGCCUGUGUAGAUAUUUUUGGGCAGUGUGGGAAAGAGUCUGUCUAGUAGUCUGCAUAAUGACUCAACAAAGAGGCAAACAGAAAAAACAACUACGUGUUUAGAGAGUUGGCAAUGGCAUUAAUGAGUUCCAGGGUGAAAUGUCCUCUAGAUACAGAUCUAGGAUCAUCUACCUCUUCUCCAAUCCACAACCUUAACCAACCAUGAGGAAUAUGCAAAACUGGCCCAAGAUCAGUAUCUAGGAGAAAACUUCAAUCCUGUCUCAGAGCUCUACUCUAAUUGUCCGUAGAGCUCUGAGACAGGAUUGUGUCGAGGCACAGAUCUGGGGGAAGGGUACCAAAAAAAUGUCUGCAGCAUUGAAGGUCUCCAAGAACACAGUGGUCUCCAUCAGUCUUAAAUGCAGAAGUUUGGAACCACCAAGACUCUUCCUAGAGCUUGCCGACCGGCCAAACUGAGCAAUUGGUGGAGAAUGGCCUUGGUCAGGGAGGUGACCAAGAACCCCGAUGGUCACUUUGACAGAGCUCCAGAGUUCCUCUGUGGAGAUGGGAGAACCUUCCAGAAGGACAACCAUCUCUGCAGCACUCUACCAAUCAGGCCUUUAGAGGGGCCAGACGGGAGCCACUCCUCAGUAAAAGGCACAUGACAGCCUGCUUGGAGUUUGCCAAAAGGCACCUAAAAGACUCUCAGACCAUGAUGGUCUGAUGAAACCAAUAUUGAACUCUUUGGCCUGAAUGCCAAGAGUCACGCUUGGAGGAAACCUGGCACCACUGGAGUAAAGUACAGAGAGAUCCUUGAUGAAAACCUGCUCCAGAGCGCUCAGGACCUCAAACUGGGGUGAUGGUUCACCUUCCAACAGGACAACGACCCUAAGGACACAGCCAAGACAACGCAGGAGUGGCUUCGGGACAAGUCUUUGAAUGUCCUUGAGUGGCCCAGCCAGAGCCCGGACUUGAAACCGAUUGAACAUCUCUGAAGAGACCUGAAAACAGCUGUGCAGUGACGUUCCUCAUCCAACCUGACAGAGCUUGAGAGGAUCUGCAGAGAAGUGAGAAACUCCCCAAAUACAGGUGUGCCAAGCUUGUAGCGUCAUACCCAAGAAGACUCUAGGCUGUAAUCUCCAUAGGUCUACCAACACCCCAAUAUAUCUCCAUAGGUCUACCAACACCCCAAUAUAUCUCCAUAGGCCGACCAACACUCCAAUAUAUCUCCAUAGAUCUACCAACACCCCAAUAUAUCUCCAUAGGCCGACCAACACCCCAAUAUAUCUCCAUAGGUCUACCAACACCCCAAUAUAUCUCCAUAGGUCUACCAACACCCCAAUAUAUCUCCAUAGAUCUACCAACACCCCAAAUAACCAUCACCCCAAAUAACCAUCACCCCAAAUAACCAUCACCCCAAAUAACCAUCACCCCAAAUAACCAACACCCCAAAUAACCAACACCCCAAAUAACCAUCACCCCAAAUAACCAACACCCCAAAUAACCAACACCCCAAAUAACCAUCACUCCAAAUAACCAACACCCCAAAUAACCAUCACCCCAAAUAACCAUCACCCCAAAUAACCAUCACCCCAAAUAACCAACACCCCAAAUAACCAACACCCCAAAUAACCAACACCCCAAAUAACCAAAAAAGAUGCCUCAAGACAUAAAUCCUCUGUAGUUAGUUAGCCCAUUUUGAAUGGAUUUUAAAGGGAUAAUUUCAGGGUGAAUGCCAAGUGUCACUGAUCUCACUGCCUGUGUCCCAAAUGGGACCCUAUUCGCUAUAUAGUUCACUACUUUUGACGAGAGACCUAUGGGCCCAGGUCAAAUGUAUUGCCCUAAAUAGGGAAUUGGUUGCCAUUUGGGACACAGACACUGUGUGCUGAAGUAAACACUCCAGUAGGUCUAGAGUUGUUUGAGAGUUGUUUGAGAGUUGUUUUAUAGUUGUUUUAGAGUUGUUUUAGAGUUGUUUGAGAGUUGUUUGAGAGUUGUUUGAGAGUUGUUCGAGAGUUGUCCGAGAGUUGUCCGAGAGUUGCUCUAGGUGAAGCAUCCUGUCUUUGUUUUUUGAAGGUUUUGUAGCCCAUCAACCACUAGCGCUAGCCUGGGUAACCACUAGCGCUAGCCUGGGUAACCACUAGCGCUAGCCUGGGUAACCACUAGCGCUAGCCUGGGUAACCACUAGCGCUAGCCUGGGUAACCACUAGCGCUAGCCUGGGUAACAGUAUGAUUGUGCUAUCAUUCUACUUCUUGCCACUCCCUGUCAACAGUCCUGCUUGUAGACAACCAGGAAACAGCCCUGCUUGUAGACAACCAGGAAACAGCCCUGCUUGUAGACAACCAGGAAACAGCACUGCUUGUAGACAACCAGGAAACAGCCCUGCUUGUAGACAACCAGGAAACAGCCCUGCUUGUAGACAACCAGGAAACAGCCCUGCUUGUAGACAACCAGGAAACAGCCCUGCUUGUAGACAACCAGGAAACAGCACUGCUUGUAGACAACCAGGAAACAGCCCUGCUUUUAGACAACCAGGAAACAGCCCUGCUUGUAGACAACCAGGAAACAGCCCUGCUUGUAGACAACCAGGAAACAGACUUGCUUGUAGACAACCAGGAAACAGCCCUGCUUGUAGACAACCAGGAAACAGCACUGCUUGUAGACAACCAGGAAACAGCCCUGCUUGUAGACAACCAGGAAACAGCCCUGCUUGUAGACAACCAGGAAACAGCCCUGCUUGUAGACAACCAGGAAACAGCCCUGCU
Long non-coding RNA from Oncorhynchus tshawytscha (Chinook salmon), 2897 nucleotides. The record is from Ensembl. Lineage: Eukaryota; Metazoa; Chordata; Actinopteri; Salmoniformes; Salmonidae.